Molecule: non-coding RNA, 844 nt
Organism: Rhopilema esculentum
Lineage: Eukaryota; Metazoa; Cnidaria; Scyphozoa; Rhizostomeae; Rhizostomatidae
Source: RefSeq, a predicted model, not a curated record
AAGGGUGUAAAUUCCACUAUUUGUUCGCCAAUGUUAUUUAAUUUUCAUUAGAGUUAUUGUCUAUUGUAAAGCGUUGCUUCAUUUUACUAAAUUUGAAUUUCAAUAAGAAUUUUAGGAUUUCCCCAUUUUAGACAAAGGCUACAUAUGGAUCUGUGUAUCCCCAGCCAUUAAAAUAUCUACUUACACAUAAAAAGGAAGCAGCAGUCAAAUCAUUAUUGAAGGCAAGGGGAUGGGAUAAAAAGACAAAGGAAGAUGUUGAGAAGGAACUAAUAACAGUUCUCAGUGUGGCAUCAGUGAAACUGGAUCAGAAUGUAUUUCUUACUGGAGACCAUGCGACUGAAGCAGAUGCUAUCCUCUUUGGUCAUCUUCAAGCUAUUUUGGCAACAAAGCAAAGCAGCAAAUUGUUAGUACAUGCCUUGGAGGAUUUUCCUCAACUUGUUAGAUAUUGUGUUACCAUAGGUAAAUUAUGCGGCUUUGCUUCAUAGCAAAUCAAAGGGCUGUUGAUAAUUUUUCUUUGUAAAAAGUCAUAUUCUUAUAGCCAAUUUUAAAAUUAAUAAAUUCUAUCUUAAAUAUGGUUCUGUUUCUUUGGUUUGUUCCCUUAAAGAAUUAUUCAGAUAUGAUUAUUAUAAUGACUGCCAUAGCCAUUACAAUAACAUCAUCUGGAAACAGUUUGACUGGGUUAAAUAUUGCAUAGAAAUGCUGUUUUUGUUGACAACACUGUUUUUCAAAAUAUGAAUGCUGAAAACUUCUUUCUUUGGGUCCUCUUUUAUACUGUGCUAUCGUUUAACAGCACUUCCUUUAUGUUGUGCUUUUGUCUUUGCUCUGUCAGCAUUGGCCCUCUCUC